RNAcentral lists this long non-coding RNA (246 nucleotides) under Homo sapiens (human). Its description in RNAcentral is "HSALNT0375478". Lineage: Eukaryota; Metazoa; Chordata; Mammalia; Primates; Hominidae. The record is from RNAcentral.
UAUUACCUUUUUCACCAUAGGCAUCAAAGCGCUCCAAAUGACCACUUGCAGACACUACAAAAAGAGUAUUUCAAAAGUGCUAAAUCAAAAGAAAAGUUCAACUCUGUGAGGUGAAUGCACACAUCACAAAGAAGUUUCUCAGAAUGCUUCUUUCUUGUCUUUAUGUGAAGAUAUUUCCUUUUCCAUUCAGAACCUCGUAGCAGUGUUCUGUAAUCCUGUGUGAGGGACAAAUAAUCAGAACCCAGC